GACUAUCACAUUGUUCUGUCCUUAAUUUCACCAUCCUCGUCUGGUUUCCUUAAUUAGUUUGAGUGAAAUAUGUAUUCAAAUAUUUUCUUUGCAGUAACCUACAAACCUUCGAAUCCACAAAUACCAUUAUUUUGAAUGUUUUAUGUUCUCGAAAGUUUAGAGAAGGAAACUCGUGUGUUGGUAUUAAGUUAGGAACAAUUGGACUCAUUAGACCUAUGGUUAGUUCAUUGUAUUUUCUUUAUAAUUUCUAUUUAAAAAAUUAUUGUAUUUUUAAUUGGUGUGGAACAGAUAUAAAUAAAACCUAAUAGUUAUCGUGGAUGUAAGUGGAAGUUGAAGACCGAAUCACGUUAAAUAUUGUGUUGUUUAUUUUUUACAAUCGUGAUUAUGUGGGUUCUUGCGUGUCUUUUUCUCAUCACAUGUUUCACGGCUAGGGCAGAACUAAUUAAAAAAUCCAUUAAACUCAUUAUAUACCAUCAUCACAUAUUCAAAUUAAAAAUCAUUUUAUAAUAAUAAUUUUUUAACUGAAGAAAAUUGUUGUGAUACUUUUUCUCUGACCACAAUUUCUUGGAAUUAUAAUAGAAGAAAAAUCAUUUGGAAUUUAGACUUCUGUUGUAUUCCAUUCCAAGAAAACCAGGACAAAACAUGUGAAGAUUUUGAUUCCUCUGGAAAGAUAUUUGUACUCUAUUGCUAGCCUUCUUAAUUUCUAUCUUCUUUUUUUCACGGGUCUAAUAGUUCCGGUAGUUGAUAAAUCCACUUCAAUUCAAAAUUAAAGAGAAGGGGGAAAGAGCACUAAUACAAAUAACGUAUUUUAUAAUUAUAUAUUAGAUUGUUUUAUUGAAAAUUGCUAAUACAAAUAACGUAUUAUACACUGCUAAUACAAAUAACGUGUUAUACACUGCUAGAUUGCCUCCAGUGCUGAUGUCGCCGCUAGAUAGCUACCUCCACUACACUACUUGUUAUUUAUAUAGAAAAUUAUUUUUAUUAUAAUGUAUUGGAAUGAAAUGUAUUAUGUUUUAAAUUUUUUAAUUAUUAUAUGUUGAAUGUUUUGGUAUUGAAUUUGGGGUGAUCAACCUCGACAAUGUCUACUAUGUUUUAUAAUGUAUUAUGUUUGGAUAUAAUGUAUUAUGCUUUAAAUUUUGUUUGAAUUGUUAUUUUAAUUGUUAAAUGUUGAACAUUUUACUAUUGGGUCUUGUGUAUUAUGUUUUAUAAUACAUUUAUUAAAAAUUGGGUGACAUUGAUGGAUAAGUGCUUCUAUUACGUAAUCACGAAUCGAAGUUGGAUAAAUGUGAGUUGUAUCAGUGAUGUGUAUGAAAAUGGCGUUGAAGAAUUUCUACAAUUUGCUCAACAGAAUGUAGAAGUUAUAAGUGGAAGAUAUUAGUAUGAUGUCUUUUAAUACAAGGACUGAAGAUGAAAAAGUACUAUGCAGAAUAACAGUGUUACCCUUGAGGCGAAGUCUAUGCACUUUGCUAGUUCAAAAGAUAAUAAUCCUAUUGUGGCUACUUUAAGUUACUUUGGAGUAAUUGAAGAAAUUUGGGAGGUUGAAUACGUCAAAUUUAGAGUUCCUGUAUUUAAGUGUAAAAUGGGUUGAUUGUAACACAAGAGUGCAUGUGGAUGACUUGAGUUUUACUUUGGGUGAUCUUACAAAGAUAGGGUGGAAGAAAAAUCCUUUCAUCAUAACUUACCAAGCAAAACAAGGUUUUUAUGUGAAAGAUCCUUCUAGGUGGUCAGUUGUCGUACAGGGGAGAAUUGAACAUGAUGUUCAUCCACAGGAUGACUCAAGGGUCAAAUCUGUAUACAAGUUUUCAUUCUCUAAACAAAUACCUCCUUUGAAUGAUGAAAAUAAUGUUGAUGAAGUAUAUGCUACACGCCAUGAUCACAAUGAAGGAAUAUGGGAGAACAUUUUAAUACUUCCACAAUAGAAAUUAAGUUAUGUUUUUAUUAGCUUUUAUAUUUAAAAAUUAGUUUUAUUUAAUUUAAAUAUAUAUCUUAAACGUGUUUUUAUUUUUUGUAGGUUGAUCACAUGGCUGACUCAUCAAAGAAGACUAGGGAGCCUACACGACUAAGAAAUCUUGUUAUUAGACGUAUGGGUAAUAAGAAAGUUCCAGUUCAAACAGACCCUCAAACUCGUAGGGCAUCAGACCCUAAUCAUGCUCAAUUUGUAAGUUAUUUGGGAGUCCUAGCUCGAUCUAAGGUGUCUAUCUUGGUACUUGACUGGGACCAUGUAAGAAAAGUAUAGAAGAAUCUUAUUUGGAAGGAUAUUUGUGUAAGCUAUUUAUUUAAAGGUUAUUAAAUAAUUUGUGUAUUUAAAACGUUAUUUACAUUUUAAUGACUUAUUCAUUAUAAUUUUUAGACAAACUUUGAGUUUGAAACUUCCAAUUUGGUUCGGAGCAAGAUAUUGUCUUUAGUAGCUACAAAAUGGAAGCAAUUCAAGAUAAAUUUGAUAGGCUAUUACAUAUUUGGCAAAUACAAGGACAGAUCUCCUUGUGAGAAAUAUUGUAUAGAUGAAGAGGCAUGGUCUCAUUUUGUUCAGAGUCAAAUGGAUCCCUCAUGGUAGGUUUGUGAACAUUUCAUUAUAUAUGUUAUUAAAUCAUAUCAUGCAAUUCAUAAUUUAUGUGUAUGAUGUGCUUGCAGGAAAAGUGGAAGAAAGCUCAAAUCAUUUCACAAAAGAAUGUUACCUCCCACAGACUGUCUCGGGGAGGUUAUGAUUUGUUAGAGAAAAAGAUAAUGGAAGAAAAGUUAAAGAGGCAAACAAAAUCCGAUUCUGGUGAACUUAUUUAUCCUCCAUCACCUCCUAAUCGACAUGGAAAAUGGAAGUUGGCCAGAACUAAAGCGGGAGUCAGAUGAAAUCUGAGAAAUCAUUAGAGAUUUCCCAACGUAUUAUAAGUUCAUAAUUACAUGUCUUAUUUUUAGUAUUGCACACUUAUCAUUACAUAUUAUAUUAACAUAUUGUAUUAUUCUUUACAGAGAGUGUGAUCUCUUUGGUGGGUUGAUGUAUUUUUAUUUGUUGGGUUUCUAUAUCUUAAUCUGGUAUAUUAUUUUGGUUAUUGUAGUGUAGUGUAUGUAUGAUCCUUUAUUGGUAGGGUGCUAGGAAACUUGUUUUGGGUUUUUUGUAUAAGGGUUGGGACACCCCUGAAGUGUCUCAAUUUAUUUUAUUUAUUUUUUGCUGAUAAAAAAAAAGGAUUUGCUAGUGGAGCAAAGCUCACAGGGAAGUUUUGUUCCUAAAGGUCGAGAUGACAUCUUGACUGUUGCUAUUGGAACUAGGGAACACCUUGAUCGUGUACGUACUACUAGUUUUGGUGUUGGGGUGAGGCAAUACUUUGGAUCAGCUCCUCGACCCAACUUUUCUACUGCAAAUGUCAGUCAGGAGAUGAUGGAGCAAUUAGUUGCACAAUUGACAGAGAGACUGACACCACAACUAACUCAUAACAUAAAAGAACAAGUUGUCAAAGAGUUAAAAGCUGAAUUCGAGCAGCGAUAUAAUCCAGUUGAACCAGUAGAUGUAAUUCAUACUCGUGGUUGAGGUAGCACAAAAGGUAGUUGUGAUAUCGAUUCAUACUCGUGGUUGAGCUAGCAAUUAGUGGCCUUUUGAAGAGUGUAUCCAGGACGUUUAACCAUGCACAUUGUUCCCAUGCAGGGUGAUUUCUCUAGAGUGGUAGUUGAAAAAGCUAGAGAUGCAUCUGCUACAGUUUCAAUGUCAUAACAGAGGUUAAUACAGUGGGAUAGACACUUGGAAUAUUUAUUGCAUGGCCUACACAUUUGAUAAAGGCCAUUUCAAAAAAUUAUGAGGUAUAUUUUAUUAAAAGCUAUUAAUGUCAUUCAUUGGGAUGCCACAUUAUUUAGUACAUAACCAUGCAAGAUGUCUUUGAAAUCAUUCAGGUUAAUUAAUUAUUGAACAUCGUAGUUAUUCAACUAUGGAUGAUGUAAGUACCCUUAAUAAUUACAUGAUACUUAAUCAAACGAUGUUUCAUGAAUCAUGUCAUUGAUAUCUAUGUUAACAAUGUAUAUAAAUUAGAUAAUUAUCAACAUGAGUAAUGUUGAUAUUUUUUAUUUCCUUGAGCCGCAAUCCAUACAAAGGUAUGAUAAUAAAAAUAUUAAUUGUCAAACUUACAUUCAAAGAUGAAUUCAGACAUCCAGAAAGAGGAUUUAUAUGGCUCCUUUUAUAAAUGGGUUAGUAAAACUUGUUACAUUUAGAUUUUACAUAAUUAUAAAAAUGACUAAUGAAAUGUUCUAUACUAGGUCUCACCGGCAUUUGAUGCUUAUUUGCCCCAUGGAUAAUACACUUGUGUGGUUUUAUUCAUUACAUAGGAAGUCAAGUCCAGAUCUGGAGACUGCAGUACAAAUGUAUGUUUUUAUUAAUAUGUUAAUUAUAUAAUUUAUUGUCAAUUACUAAUAUUUUUCUCUUUUUAGUGCAAUUAAUGUAUGCAAUGUCUUUGGCGGUAGACCCACUUUAUCAUCACAAGAUCUAGUUAGAUUUUUCCUAGGGUAUAUAUUUAUCUCUUUAUUGAAACUAUUAAGUUUUACUUCUUUUAGUUGUUCAAUUAAAUUAAUUGUUACUUAUAUUUGAUAAUAGUGCAAUAAGCAACAAAAAAAGCUUUGAAUGUGGUUAUUAUGUAAUGCAUUGGAUGUGAACCAUAUCCUUGUGAAUAUUAUGGACUCUUGGAAGCGGGUAUUAUAAGAUUUUAAACACUUUAACAUCUCAUUUUAAAUUCAUAUUUAUUAUUAUGAACACUAAUAUCCAAUUACGUUUCUCAGCUUUUUGUAGAAAUCGAGUCACAAAGCAUACAAACUCUUAAACAAAUCUGUCAAAAAUGGUCCAAAUAUUUUCUAGAGAUUAGGAAUCAAAACAUAUCAUGAUUUGUAACUUUGUAUAUAUAUAUACACUUUCAUUAGUUUUAAUUAUACUAUUUUUUAUUAGUUUCAAUUGCAUGCUUUUAUAUUUCUCAAUAUAAAAAUUGAUCUUAUUGGUUUUUGGUUUGAUUUAAAAAUUAAGUUGAAAAAAUCACAUUUUAAUAAUUUUGAAAAUAACAAAUGUAAAAUGUAAAAUAUCAUAUUACAACUGAGCUAUAUUAAUAAUAGAAUCGAUAUAAUAUAUCUCCAAAAACUUGGGUAAUAUGCAUUAUUGCACUAGUGAAGGAAGUAUGAAGAAAAAUCAACGUCCAUCCUUGACCUGUGCUCAAGUCUUCCUCUCUUUUCAGUCCACAGACUAAUAAUCUUAGUCUAAAAAGAUGCAAAUAUCACACCCGAAACUAAGCCCAGAUCAUCACCUUUCCAUGGAUAUUCCUAAGCUCCACAUAAUUCAACACUCUCGCUGUAUUGCACUUCUUUUCCUUCUUCAGUUCUCAUCACUGCACUUCCCCUCCCUCGGCUACAACGUCCCUGAUAAGUACUUUAUCAAUUGUGGGUCAGACAACAGUGUUACCGAAAGUGGCAAGGUUUACGUUGCUGAAUCAAACCAUGAUGCCAGUUUUAACAGCAGUAACACCGAAAGGAAUCAGUCAUCGGUGCCUUCUCCUCUUUACCAAACAGCAAGAAUUUUUCGAAGGGUAUCUUGGUACAAGUUCAACAUCGAUUCCAAUGGCACCUACCUGCUACGCCUUCAUUUCUUCCCUUUCUCUUCCCCCAGUAAUCUUUCCUCGGCCAGGUUCAACGUUUCAGUCCCUGGUUUCUGGUUGUUGCAAAAUUUUGAUGGUACAAAUGAUACCAAUAACAACUCUGCUUUAGUUAAAGAGUUUUUCAUGGAAAUUAGUGCCCCCACCUUCAAAAUAACUUUCAGACCUCUGGAAUCAUCGUUUGCGUUUGUGAACGCCAUAGAACUGUUCGUACUACCCCUCCAUCUGAUAUCUGACAAGGUGUCGUUUUUUAAACCCAUUGGGGGUACAUCUAUUUAUAGCGGAGGUUUGUACUCUCGGGUGUUGGAGACCAAACAUAGGCUUAAUGUUGGUGGUCAACCUACCAAAGAUCUCUUAUUGAGAAACUGGAUUCCAGAUGAUAUUUAUCUAAUGUAUACAGAAAACGCCAAGAAUCGUUCCCCUUAUAAUGGUGAAAUCGGGUACCAUGUAGAUGAUGACUCCGAUGGUCCAAACNNNNNNNNNNNNNNNNNNNNNNNNNNNNNNNNNNNNNNNNNNNNNNNNNNNNNNNNNNNNNNNNNNNNNNNNNNNNNNNNNNNNNNNNNNNNNNNNNNNNNNNNNNNNNNNNNNNNNNNNNNNNNNNNNNNNNNNNNNNNNNNNNNNNNNNNNNNNNNNNNNNNNNNNNNNNNNNNNNNNNNNNNNNNNNNNNNNNNNNNNNNNNNNNNNNNNNNNNNNNNNNNNNNNNNNNNNNNNNNNNNNNNNNNNNNNNNNNNNNNNNNNNNNNNNNNNNNNNNNNNNNNNNNNNNNNNNNNNNNNNNNNNNNNNNNNNNNNNNNNNNNNNNNNNNNNNNNNNNNNNNNNNNNNNNNNNNNNNNNNNNNNNNNNNNNNNNNNAAGUGAUUGAAUCAUCAAAUGAUGUCCCCCGUGACAUGGACGAACCCGAUUCCAAUCAUCAUCCUUUUCCUGUGGUUCUGGGUUCAGUUCUCGGUGGUUUAGCCUUGGCUUUUGUUGUGGUGCUACUUGGCUUUCUUUUGCGUUUUAAAAUGAGGAAGGAAAAGCCCGUUGGGAAUUCGGACUGGUUGUCAGUCCUCGUUAAUGCUGGAGGAAGUUCUCACAGCAGAUUGACUGAUAUAUCCAGUCACGGCUCUGCCCUUCCCAACAUAAACCUAGGGCUCAAAAUUCCCUUGAUUGAUCUUCAACUUGCAACAAAGAAUUUCCACGAAAGUCAGCUGAUUGGCGAGGGUGGUUUUGGCAACGUCUACAAGGGAGUCCUCAAGAAUGGCAUGACAGUGGCUGUGAAAAGAAGCCAGCCAGGGUCAGGUCAAGGCCUUCCAGAAUUUCAGACAGAGAUUAUGGUUUUGUCCAAGAUUCGCCACAGGCACCUGGUUUCCUUAAUUGGGUAUUGUGAUGAGAGGUUGGAGAUGAUUCUGGUCUAUGAAUACAUGGAAAAAGGAACCCUAAGGGACCAUUUGUAUAACACAAAGUUUCCAACCUUGUCCUGGAAGGCGAGGCUUCAAAUUUGCAUUGAUUCUGCCAGGGGUCUUCAUUACCUUCACAAAGGAGCAGCUGGGGGAAUCAUUCACCGUGAUGUGAAGUCCACAAACAUAUUGCUUGAUGAGAACCAUGUCGCUAAAGUUGCUGAUUUUGGUCUUUCAAGGUCAGGUCCUCUUGGUACUGAAUCGUAUGUCACCACUGGUGUUAAAGGCACUUUUGGGUAUCUUGAUCUUGAGUAUUUCAGGUCGCAACACCUGACAGAAAAAUCUGAUGUCUACUCAUUUGGGGUAGUUCUUUUGGAAGUUUUAUGUGCAAGAGCAGCGAUUGACCCAUCUCUUCCAAGAGAUCAGAUAAACUUGGCGGAAUGGGGAUUGCUUUGCAAAAACAAGGGGACACUCCAAGAGAUCAUCGAUCCUUCCAUCAAGGAUCAAAUUGAUCAAAACUCACUCAGAAAAUUUAGUGAGACGAUAGAAAAAUGCUUGCAAGAAAAUGGUUCUGAUAGGCCAACCAUGGGUGAUGUGUUAUGGAACUUGGAGUAUGCGGUGCAGCUUCAGAGAGGUGCAAAUUCAAUGCAGAGAGACCCGUAUGAGAAUAGUUCUAGCAGUGUUUCUACAUCACUUCAACUGCCAAAUGUUCGGCGUCUUCCUUCACUCUCCACACUGAGUGAAGCCGAUGAUAUAAUUGUGAGGCAUGAUGAAUCCGAUAGUGCUGUGGAUUACGUUUUCUCCCAGUUGAAGAUUGAUGAUGCCAGUUAGAAUAUCGAGCACUUCAAGGCAGACUUCUAUUCGGAAAUGUCUUGAGUAGAGUAGUUGCUUUUAAGAUAGAUUUUCCAACCUUUCGUCUUUUUGUUUCUGUAGUUUUUGUUGUCAGUCUAUCACAGGGUUCUGUCCUUAAUUUCACCAUCCUCGUCUGGUUUCCUUAAUUAGUUUGAGUGAAAUAUGUAUUCAAAUAUUUUCUUUGCAGUAACCAACAAGCCUUGGAAGCCAUAAAUACCAUUAUUUUGAAUGCUUUAUGUUCUCCAAAGUUUAGAAGAAGGAAACCUGAGAAUGAUGUAAGUCUCAAUGUCUCAGUCAAAAAACACGUUGCUUACUUGUUC
This 8155-nucleotide long non-coding RNA is filed under the name Phaseolus vulgaris (common bean). Its description in RNAcentral is "long non-coding RNA (PVUL_LNC004219)". Lineage: Eukaryota; Viridiplantae; Streptophyta; Magnoliopsida; Fabales; Fabaceae. The record is from RNAcentral.